This 373-nucleotide unclassified non-coding RNA is filed under the name uncultured bacterium. RNAcentral's name for it is "contains 16S-23S intergenic spacer region". The record is from RNAcentral.
UCCGGCUUAUCACCGGCAGUCCCCUUAGAGUGCCCGACUGAAUGAUGGCAACUAAGGGCGAGGGUUGCGCUCGUUGUGGGACUUAACCCAACAUCUCACGACACGAGCUGACGACAGCCAUGCACCACCUGUACACCGACAAAAAGGGGCACCAUCUCUGGCGCUUUCCGGCGUAUGUCAAACCCAGGUAAGGUUCUUCGCGUUGCGUCGAAUUGAACCACAUGCACCACCGCUUGUGCGGGCCCCCGUCAAUUCCUUUGAGUUUCAACCUUGCGGUCGUACUCCCCAGGCGGGGUACUUCCUGCGUUAGCGCCGGCACCCAGAGGGUCGCUCCCCCAGGCACCUAGUACCCAUCGUUUACGGCGUGGACUAC